GAAGGUCAUUUAGAGAGCUAAGUUUUAUACAUGUAGAGAGAGACAGGUGUGUAUGAACGCAUGUAGAGAGAGACAGGUGUGUAUGAACGCAUGUAGAGAGAGACAGGUGUGCAUGAACGCCUUAACAGGUAUAAAAUAUAUAGUGCUGAUGAUGAUGGGGAAAAUAAAAAUGGUGAUAAUUAUGAUCAGGUUAUGAGAUUGUCUUCACUAUAGACUGAGUUAAUCCUUGUCACCAUCACCAACACCAUAGUGAGUUAAUUAAUAUAAUGUUCUUCUCAAUUUACCUCUAUGAUAUAACUCCCUUCAACCAUCCAUUACUCUUGCCAAGGAUGUUUUGCUUUACACGUCAUUUACAACUUUUUUCUAUAAUAUGAGAUAAACAAACUAUGUAACUCUAACCAUCUUUUCUCCUUCAAUAUGCUCAUCAAUAUACAUGUUUGUGUGUUUGGUUAAAUGGUGCUUUUUGGCAUUGCUGUUUAGGGGACAAUUUGUGUAUGUGUGUUUUGGGGAUGGUUCAGUGGCUAGUCUUCAGGAGCAGUCAUAGGUAGGGCACAGGUAUGGUGGAGUCACAGGUAGGUGGGGCACUGAUGGGUCAAUGACAGGUGGGGCACAGGUAGGUGGGGCACUGAUGGGUCAAUGACAGGUGGGGCACAGGUAGGUGGGGCACUGAUGGAGCAAUGAUAGGUGGGGCACAGGUAGGGUGGGUCAGUCACAGGUAGGUCACAGGUAGGGUGGGUCAAUCACAGGUAGGUCACAGAUAGGGUGGGUCAAUCACAGGUAGGUCACAGAUAGGGUGGGUCAAUCACAGGUAAAAUACACUCUAAAACACACUUACAAACUAACAUACACUCACAUAAGUCAAACAACAAGAUAACAUCCCCAAGACACACAUUUCCCAAUACACUGAAGAAUCUCACGGUAACCAACCACUCACUGACCAUUGACUGGCUUGACUGUACCGGUAAAAGCAUGACACUCACCUUGACAGUCACCUCCACGAGAGACAACAAAAGCGGUGAUAUUCUCUCCAGCGUAAAAUUCCCUCCAGUCGAUGAGGCUCUGAGAUCGCCACCUACGCCUCCACUGGUGAUAAAAAAAAGACC
Molecule: long non-coding RNA, 1103 nt
Organism: Homarus americanus (American lobster)
Lineage: Eukaryota; Metazoa; Arthropoda; Malacostraca; Decapoda; Nephropidae
Exons: 2
Source: RefSeq, a predicted model, not a curated record